Xenia sp. Carnegie-2017 is the source of this 339-nucleotide long non-coding RNA. RefSeq lists it as uncharacterized. The record is from RefSeq and is a predicted model, not a curated record. Lineage: Eukaryota; Metazoa; Cnidaria; Anthozoa; Malacalcyonacea; Xeniidae. The transcript is spliced from 4 exons.
AAAUAUUCAUGGUUAACACACAAUCAGGUGCAUCAAAAAGCACUUGCUCUGGGAUCUGGGAUAAUGGAACUUGGCUAUUAACCAUCAACUGAAAUGACAUUUGGCAUUUAUGCUGUGAACAAAUUGGAGUGGAUGUUAAUAGACAGAGCCUGUGUUAUGUUUUCCUUUGUAUCAGUUCCACUGUAUGAGAGUUUAGGUGUUGAAGCAUGUAUCUACAUCAUUAACCAUGCUGAGUUAUCAUUAGUUGUGUGUGAGUGAGAACAAGCUGCCAAUAUUAUUGGAGUCAGCUCAUCAAUGUCCUAAACUCAAGCAUAUUAUAAAAAUUGGUGAUGUGACAAA